UACGGAGGGUGCGAGCGUUGUCCGGAAUCACUGGGCGUAAAGGGCGCGUAGGCGGCCUGAUAAGUAGGGGGUGAAAUCCUGCGGCUUAACCGCAGGGCUGCCUUCUAGACUGUCAGGCUAGAGCACAGUAGAGGCAGGUGGAAUUCCCGGUGUAGCGGUGGAAUGCGCAGAUAUCAGGAGGAACACCGAUGGCGAAGGCAGAUCUCUGGGCCGUAACUGACGCUGAGGAGCGAAAGCGUGGGGAGCGAACAGG
RNAcentral lists this ribosomal RNA (253 nucleotides) under uncultured bacterium. Its description in RNAcentral is "partial 16S ribosomal RNA". It matches the Rfam family "Bacterial small subunit ribosomal RNA", at positions 524 to 776 of the family's 1533-position model. The record is from RNAcentral.